This 305-nucleotide signal recognition particle RNA is filed under the name Morus notabilis. RNAcentral's name for it is "Plant signal recognition particle RNA". It matches the Rfam family "Plant signal recognition particle RNA". The record is from Rfam by way of RNAcentral. Lineage: Eukaryota; Viridiplantae; Streptophyta; Magnoliopsida; Rosales; Moraceae.
GCCGAGCUGGGUAGCGCUAGCUUGUGACUCGAGUGAGGGCAUUAAGGAUGGUUGGAAUGCAGUUCGGCCCACUAUGCAGGGCUGGAAGGUCGCGAUUUGUCGGCCCGCCCGGUCCAAGUCGUGAGUGGGCCAUGGGUCUCAAACGAAGGCUUGGGCCUCCUGGUCCCUAGAGAGGGGGGCACCGCGUGAGGCUGGUUUCACAGAGCAGCGAAAACCUUCCACUCAUGACAGUGGGCGGAUAACGGGCCGGCGCACCUGCAGUCCAGAUUGCCUUGUGGGCUGUCCUCAGCUGAACAACCAUCUUU